This 90-nucleotide transfer RNA is filed under the name Rhodovulum sp. Its description in RNAcentral is "tRNA-Ser". It matches the Rfam family "tRNA". Rfam says of the family: Transfer RNA (tRNA) molecules are approximately 80 nucleotides in length. Their secondary structure includes four short double-helical elements and three loops (D, anti-codon, and T loops). RNAcentral also lists the same sequence under 926 other names. Lineage: Bacteria; Pseudomonadati; Pseudomonadota; Alphaproteobacteria; Rhodobacterales; Paracoccaceae. The record is from RNAcentral.
GGAGAGGUGCCGGAGUGGUCGAACGGGGCGGUCUCGAAAACCGUUGUGGGUGCAAGCCCACCCAGGGUUCGAAUCCCUGUCUCUCCGCCA